RNAcentral lists this ribosomal RNA (468 nucleotides) under uncultured bacterium. RNAcentral describes it as "partial 16S ribosomal RNA". It matches the Rfam family "Bacterial small subunit ribosomal RNA", at positions 28 to 507 of the family's 1533-position model. The record is from RNAcentral.
GACGAACGCUGGCGGCGUGCUUAACACAUGCAAGUCGAACGGAAAGGCCCUGCUUUUGUGGGGUGCUCGAGUGGCGAACUGGUGAGUAACACGUGAGUAACCUGCCCUUGACUUUGGGAUAACUUCAUGAAACUGGGGCUAAUACCGGAUAGGAUCUCCUGCUGCAUGGUGGGGGUUGGAAAGUUUCGGCGGUUGGGGAUGGACUCGCGGCUUAUCAGCUUGUUGGUGGGGUAGUGGCUUACCAAGGCUUUGACGGGUAGCCGGCCUGCGCGGGUGACCGGCCACAUUGGGACUGAGAUACGGCCCAGACUCCUACGGGAGGCAGCAGUGGGGAAUAUUGCAUAAUGGGCGGAAGCCUGAUGCAGCAAAGCCGCGUGCGGGAUGACGGCCUUCGGGUUGUAAACCGCUUUCGCCUGUGACGAAGCGUGAGUGACGGUAAUGGGUAAAGAAGCACCGGCUAACUACGUG